GGAUGUGAGGGUGAUCAAGCUGUGACAUCUGCCGUCCUAUUGAUUGAUCACCAGUGUUAAUUCUGCAGUUCUGGCUGGCGAGAAGGGUGUCUGCUUCCUUCUUCAACUCUCCACGUGCGUCCGUCUUGAAGCUCAGCGCUCGGUGGAGGAGGACGACCACCCCAGAUAGAGGAGGAUCAUUCCUCCGUUAAGGGUGUACGAAUAGCUGCGCUCCCCUGCUAGAACCUCCAAACCCUCUCAAGAGAUAAAUUUGCAAAUGUAACACUUUGAAGAUGGUUAGGUGAUUGUUUUUACAUUUUGAAAAUGCAUGGAAAUAUGCCAAUUGCAAGCAUAA
This 334-nucleotide small nuclear RNA is filed under the name Chinchilla lanigera (long-tailed chinchilla). Its description in RNAcentral is "7SK RNA (ENSCLAG00000021864.1)". It matches the Rfam family "7SK RNA", at positions 1 to 293 of the family's 331-position model. From Rfam's summary of the family: 7SK was discovered as an abundant small nuclear RNA in the mid-70s but a possible function has only recently been suggested. Two independent studies have found that 7SK RNA binds the CDK9/cyclin T complex (known as elongation factor P-TEFb). P-TEFb activates transcription by phosphorylating the C-terminal domain of RNA polymerase II. The record is from Rfam by way of RNAcentral. Lineage: Eukaryota; Metazoa; Chordata; Mammalia; Rodentia; Chinchillidae.